Molecule: ribosomal RNA, 499 nt
Filed under: uncultured Glomeromycotina
Lineage: Eukaryota; Fungi; Glomeromycota
Description: partial small subunit ribosomal RNA
Rfam family: Eukaryotic small subunit ribosomal RNA
Source: RNAcentral
CCAAUAGCGUAUAUUAAAGUUGUUGCAGUUAAAAAGCUCGUAGUUGAAUUUCGGGAUCAGUGCGCUGGUCGUGCCUCUGGUAUGUACUGGUGUUUCUGAUUCCUCCUUCUGACGAACCGUCAUGUCAUUAAUUUGGUGUGUCGGGAAAUCAGGACUGUUACUUUGAAAAAAUUAGAGUGUUUAAAGCAGGCUCGCGCUUGAAUACAUUAGCAUGGAAUAAUGAAAUAGGACGUUCGAUCCUAUUUUGUUGGUUUCUAGGAUUGACGUAAUGAUUAAUAGGGAUAGUUGGGGGCAUUAGUAUUCAAUUGUCAGAGGUGAAAUUCUUGGAUUUAUUGAAGACUAACUACUGCGAAAGCAUUUGCCAAGGAUGUUUUCAUUAAUCAAGAACGAAAGUUAGGGGAUCGAAGACGAUCAGAUACCGUCGUAGUCUUAACCAUAAACUAUGCCGACUAGGGAUCGGAUGAUGUUAAUUUUUUAAUGACUCAUUCGGCGCCUUACG